This 274-nucleotide ribosomal RNA is filed under the name uncultured eukaryote. RNAcentral describes it as "partial 18S ribosomal RNA". It matches the Rfam family "Eukaryotic small subunit ribosomal RNA", at positions 594 to 945 of the family's 1831-position model. The record is from RNAcentral.
AUAGCGUAUAUUAAAGUUGUUGCAGUUAAAAAGCUCGUAGUUGGAUUUCAAGGGACGCACGUGGUCAACACGCUGCUCUCUACCAGUCUUUGACUGUUACUGUGAGAAAAUUAGAGUGUUUCAAGCAGGCUGUUGCAGGAAUACAUUAGCAUGGAAUAACGAAUGUGUCUAGAAUCUUGGUUAAUUCUAGAUUACGAUUAAUAGGGACAGUUGGGGGCAUUAGUAUUUAAUUGUCAGAGGUGAAAUUCUUGGAUUUAUUAAAGACUAACGUAUG